GCGAUGGUGGUUCAGUGGUAUAAUUCUUCCCUUCCAUGAGGAAGACCUAGGUUCAAUUCCCAGCCGAUGUA
Molecule: transfer RNA, 71 nt
Filed under: Loxodonta africana (African savanna elephant)
Lineage: Eukaryota; Metazoa; Chordata; Mammalia; Proboscidea; Elephantidae
Rfam family: tRNA
About the family: Transfer RNA (tRNA) molecules are approximately 80 nucleotides in length. Their secondary structure includes four short double-helical elements and three loops (D, anti-codon, and T loops).
Source: Rfam by way of RNAcentral